This 253-nucleotide unclassified non-coding RNA is filed under the name uncultured Flavobacteriaceae bacterium. Its description in RNAcentral is "contains 16S-23S intergenic spacer region". It matches the Rfam family "Bacterial small subunit ribosomal RNA", at positions 524 to 776 of the family's 1533-position model. The record is from RNAcentral. Lineage: Bacteria; Pseudomonadati; Bacteroidota; Flavobacteriia; Flavobacteriales; Flavobacteriaceae.
UACGUAGGGGGCAAGCGUUAUCCGGAAUCAUUGGGUUUAAAGGGUCCGUAGGCGGGUCGAUAAGUCAGUGGUGAAAGUCUGCAGCUCAACUGUAGAACUGCCAUUGAUACUGUUAACCUUGAGUAAUUAUGAAGUGGUUAGAAUAUGUAGUGUAGCGGUGAAAUGCAUAGAUAUUACAUAGAAUACCGAUUGCGAAGGCGGAUCACUAAUAAUUUACUGACGCUGAGGGACGAAAGCGUAGGUAGCGAACAGA